UACGUAGGGCGCAAGCGUUGUCCGGAAUUAUUGGGCGUAAAGAGCUCGUAGGCGGUUUGUCGCGUCUGCUGUGAAAACCUGAGGCUCAACCUCGGGCUUGCAGUGGGUACGGGCAGACUAGAGUGCGGUAGGGGUGACUGGAAUUCCUGGUGUAGCGGUGAAAUGCGCAGAUAUCAGGGAGGGAACACCGGUGGCGAAGGCGGGUCUCUGGGCAGUAACUGACGCUGAGGAGCGAAAGCGUGGGUAGCGAACAG
RNAcentral lists this ribosomal RNA (254 nucleotides) under uncultured bacterium. RNAcentral's name for it is "partial 16S ribosomal RNA". It matches the Rfam family "Bacterial small subunit ribosomal RNA", at positions 524 to 775 of the family's 1533-position model. The record is from RNAcentral.